GUAUUAGUUACGUUCUUGAAACUCAAAGGAUUUGGCGGUAUUUUAGUCCUUUCAGAGGAACCUGUCCCUUAAUCGAUAUUCCACGAUUUUAUAUACUUUAUUUUGUUUAGCAGCUUGUAUACCUCCGUCAUAAGAAUUUUCUUUUAGGAUAAAUUUUCUUGAUUUUGUGAAUAUAAAAAUGUCAGGUCAAGGUGCAGCUUAUAAUUAAGUGGAGGUGGGUUACAAUAAGUUUAUUUAUACGGAUGUUCUUAGGUGUUAUUGAGAAUUGAAGGUGGAUUUGAAAGUAAAAUUAUUUUAUUGGUUUUUUGAUUAUUGGCUCUAAAAUAUGCACACAUCGCCCG
Molecule: ribosomal RNA, 341 nt
Filed under: Pyrrhargiolestes sidonia
Lineage: Eukaryota; Metazoa; Arthropoda; Insecta; Odonata; Argiolestidae
Description: partial 12S ribosomal RNA
Source: RNAcentral